UACGGGGGGGGCAAGCGUUGUUCGGAAUUACUGGGCGUAAAGGGCUCGUAGGCGGCCAACUAAGUCGGACGUGAAAUCCCCAGGCUCAACCUGGGAACUGCAUCCGAUACUGGAUGGCUUGAAUUCGGGAGAGGGAUGCAGAAUUCCAGGUGUAGCGGUGAAAUGCGUAGAUAUCUGGAGGAAUACCGGUGGCGAAGGCGGCAUCCUGGACCGACAUUGACGCUGAGGAGCGAAAGCCAGGGGAGCAAACGGG
RNAcentral lists this ribosomal RNA (253 nucleotides) under uncultured bacterium. Its description in RNAcentral is "partial 16S ribosomal RNA". It matches the Rfam family "Bacterial small subunit ribosomal RNA", at positions 524 to 776 of the family's 1533-position model. The record is from RNAcentral.